RNAcentral lists this ribosomal RNA (938 nucleotides) under uncultured Halobacteria archaeon. Its description in RNAcentral is "bacterial SSU rRNA". It matches the Rfam family "Archaeal small subunit ribosomal RNA", at positions 357 to 1293 of the family's 1478-position model. Lineage: Archaea; Methanobacteriati; Methanobacteriota; Halobacteria. The record is from RNAcentral.
GCAUGACAGUGCGAUAGGGGGACUCCGAGUGCGAGGGCAUACAGUCCUCGCUUUUCACCACCGUAAGGUGGUGGUGGAAUAAGAGCUGGGCAAGACCGGUGCCAGCCGCCGCGGUAAUACCGGCAGCUCGAGUGAUGGCCGAUAUUAUUGGGCCUAAAGCGUUCGUAGCCGGCCGGACAAGUCCGUUGGGAAAUCUGCGCGCUUAACGCGCAGGCGGCCAGCGGAAACUGUCCGGCUUGGGGCCGGAAGACUCGAGGGGUACGUCCGGGGUAGGAGUGAAAUCCCAUAAUCCUGGACGGACCGCCGGUGGCGAAAGCGCCUCGAGAGGACGGACCCGACGGUGAGGAACGAAAGCCAGGGUCUCGAACCGGAUUAGAUACCCGGGUAGUCCUGGCCGUAAACGAUGUCCGCUAGGUGUGGCGCAGGCUACGAGCCUGCGCUGUGCCGUAGGGAAGCCGUGAAGCGGACCGCCUGGGAAGUACGUCUGCAAGGAUGAAACUUAAAGGAAUUGGCGGGGGAGCACUACAACCGGAGGAGCCUGCGGUUUAAUUGGACUCAACGCCGGACAUCUCACCAGCACCGACAGUGCGCAGUGAAGGUCAGGUUGAUGACCUUACUGGAGCCACUGAGAGGAGGUGCAUGGCCGCCGUCAGCUCGUACCGUGAGGCGUCCUGUUAAGUCAGGCAACGAGCGAGACCCGCACUCCUAGUUGCCAGCAACACCCUAGGUGGUUGGGUACACUAGGAGGACUGCCGCUGCUAAAGCGGAGGAAGGAACGGGCAACGGUAGGUCAGUAUGCCCCGAAUGUGCUGGGCAACACGCGGGCUACAAUGGCCGGGACAAUGGGAUGCUAUCUCGAGAGAGAACGCUAAUCCCCUAAACCCGGUCGUAGUUCGGAUUGAGGGCUGAAACUCGCCCUCAUGAAGCUGGAUUCGGUA